GUAGGCUGCACGUAUCCCAAACUGUGCAACCAGACUCUACCUGGUGCUUCAUCAGCCCCGUGAGAACCACACCCUGUGUCAGCCAAGCAUGACUGAGAUGUGCAAGUGGACUCACAUUUAAGAGCAGCACAGCUCAUGGGAGAAGGGAGGAGGUGACAUCUCAUCACCGGGCAGUGUGCACAUCCAAAAGGAAGGGGAAGCCAGAGGGAAGCUGCUGUCUGAUCAUGAGAUUUGGGGUGCACUGAACAAAAAGUACUAUGUCAAAGAGCUGGGAAUCAGACAUUGGAGAGAAGAUGGAGGCAUUUUGUUGUGAGGAUGUUCAAGGCUGUGAGGCUGAAGAGGAAAAGGAGUAUACAGUGAAGGACCACGUUAGAAAUGCCUGAGCAAAGAUCUGAGGAUGAACAAAAAAAAAAAAAGGCUUCA
This is a long non-coding RNA of Passer domesticus (house sparrow), 423 nucleotides long. RefSeq lists it as uncharacterized. Lineage: Eukaryota; Metazoa; Chordata; Aves; Passeriformes; Passeridae. The transcript has 2 exons. The record is from RefSeq and is a predicted model, not a curated record.